AGAGCAGUAGUUUAACGGGGAAAACAACAGAUUUCUGAUUUCGUUUGUAGGUUCGAGUCCUAUCUGCUCUG
Molecule: transfer RNA, 71 nt
Filed under: Lachnospiraceae bacterium
Lineage: Bacteria; Bacillati; Bacillota; Clostridia; Lachnospirales; Lachnospiraceae
Description: tRNA-Arg
Rfam family: tRNA
About the family: Transfer RNA (tRNA) molecules are approximately 80 nucleotides in length. Their secondary structure includes four short double-helical elements and three loops (D, anti-codon, and T loops).
Source: RNAcentral